This is a long non-coding RNA of Prosopis cineraria, 2971 nucleotides long. RefSeq lists it as uncharacterized. The record is from RefSeq and is a predicted model, not a curated record. Lineage: Eukaryota; Viridiplantae; Streptophyta; Magnoliopsida; Fabales; Fabaceae. The transcript has 3 exons.
UCUCGUUCGUGCCGUAGGACGCAUGCCCGCCAAAACCCCAUGGGUGGAGAUUGAAGGCGGCAGGGAGGAGUCACUAUAGAAAUCGAAGCCACCAGCAGAAUUGGUCGCUUGCAUGACGCUUGCGCGUGCCAUGAGUGCUCUGCGUUGUGCUCGACCCAAAAAGAUCAAGGACGCUAUUUUCCGCCCGCCUUCACGGUCCAAAUACCCUUAGUCGGUGCAUUUUCAGACGCUUCGGGUUUGUCGCUGUAAUUCGUCGGAUGCUUUGCCCUUCGCUCACUGUUUUUUCUUUCUUCCUCGUUCUCUGGAGGACUCGGUAUGGUUCAUCCUCGAGUAUGUUAGAGAUGCUGUUGAGAAGGAAAAUUCAUUCGAUCAAGUUCUCUUCACAGACCCAAAGACCCUCAGUCGAUACAUUUUUCAAACUUGGUAUAUGGCUCUCAAACUCGAGUACUUCAUAUCUAUCGACUUCAAGUUUUACAGAGAUCAAGUUAAAUGAUAUAGUUGUAUGGCAUUGGAACUGAUUGUCUUCUAUUUCAAGGAAAGGCUAUAUAGACGGACAAAUGCAAGGUGGUGGACUAUUCCUUUGUAAUUUUUUUUUUAAUUUUGUUUGUAAAACAUGUGAAUUAGUUUUAGCUCCUCCGUAUUCUAGAUGGUUUUCAAUUUUGCUCCCAUAUAUGUGUGUCUGGAUUUGUUCCUGGCUAGAUAUUCACCAAGGAAUGUUAGAUCUUUUAUGAACAAGUCCGUAUCUUUUGUGCACUGAGUCAAUGCAAUGAGAAAAUUCUUUAUGCAUCACAUGGCCAUCCUUCCCCUAUUUAUACAAACAGGGGCUAGAUAGGUUCCAUGCAAGUUCCCUAACUACCCCAUUGAUUCCUAAUGAUUACCCUCAUUACCCUUAGUUCCCACAUGACAAUAACUAAUGACAUUGUACUGAUCCUUGAGGACAAGGGUCAUUCUUAUGGGGGAGUAUGGUCACGUGAGAACUAAGUAGUUGGGGAUUAAGUCAAGGGGUGGCUAGGGAAUUUGGGACUGUAGGAAACCUAUCUAGUAUGAAUAGGGAAGGAUAUUUGGAUAUGUAGAUGAUGUAUAAGGGAGUGAAGAACAGGGAAAAUAGGAUAGAGAAAGGAGAGUAAGGCAAGGAUUGAGAACUCGAGAGAUGUUUCUGGAUAAUGCUUGAGAGAAUUCAUAUUCAAUUCAUAUCAGGUACAUCUACAUCUCAGGCCUAUUUUUACAUCUAGACCCGCUAACCUAUCCCUCUUAUUCUAAUUAUGAUUACACAUCAGUAGAUCGUUGGUGUGAAUGAGAUAGUAUUUUGUGUUAGUGUGUUCUGUUGGCCUUUGACAUGCACCACUUACACUGAGGUGGUUGCAGUUAGUUUGAAAGGUUCUUGCUCAACAAGAGGCCAUAUUAAUGUUUUCAUGAGUAUUCUUGCUUUUUGGUUGAUUAGUUGUGGAGAUGAAAUUCUAAGAAAUUUUUUUAAUCAAGAAAUUUGAAGUUGAAUGGAAGUAUUUUCUUAAAUCAGGGGCUUAAAGGCUUAAAGCUGGUAAAUUUAGACAGUACAUUAUUUUAAUAUCAUUGUAGCAUUUAUAAUGAAAAAUGUGAUUAAGUUUUAUGUUGAAACAGCCUUGGAUGAGAGAAGGUCAACUUUUGUUUGGUUAUCUAUAGGUUUUAAGUUUUGGUGCCUUUUGGUGUGCUGAGGAGAUGUCUUAAACUUAAACUUCUUGUAUCUCCUGUUGUGGAGCUAUGCUAGCUUAAUUGUCAGUCUUGAAACUCCCAUUCUAUUAGCUGUCCAUCAUUUCAUCUUUUUCCCUGCGGUUCUGUUGACAUCCUUAAAUUUUUUGUUCACCGAGUUUUUACUAGGUGUAGGCAGAAUAUUGCUUUCUAACAACCCGCUCAACUAUAUUGGUCUAAGUGGCCUUUGAAAUGGCUGUGGAGUGUGUGACAGAGGAAGCGAUAAUUAUGUUGGGUCUCCUUAUCUUUUUAAUGUUUUUUUAAUGUCAUCAUGGAAUAUCUUUUUAAUGUUCUUUUAAUCUCAUCAUGAAAUGCCAUUUUUUCUGUAUUAAUUAUUAUCCUUUUAGAUAAUAUUCUUUCAUAGUGCCUUAGUGGUUAAUAAAACUUAAUAGUUUAGGCUGGAGACGAAGACUUGCUUGUUUGCUAUUCCUUCUCUGGGCAUUGUUUGUAAUCAGAUCUUUUUAUCAAACUAUAAUCUUUUUGUGGGGUUUCUUUCUUCGUCUCAUUCUUGUGUAUUAUUCUUUGGAGUGGAACUAGGUAAUGACAUUUUGAUGGUUGAAAUUGUCAAUUGAAGCUCAUGUUCUCAUUUUUCAUUAUUUGUUAGUAAUAUACAUGUUUCUUUGACAGGUGUUUUUUUUUUUUUUUUUGGGUAGGAAAUAUGGUUGUUUUGAAGGACCCUGAGAAGUGAAAGAAUCAUGUAGUCAGAAGACUGGCUGCCAUUGAAGGUUGUGAAAUGAAUUCUACAUUGAGCCUUUCAUUCUUGAGCAGGAUCAAUGUUGGGUAUUGGCUGAUAAUCAAAAUUUGAAACCCAAGUAGCAUGUAGAGAGAGAUUACUGUCCUCAAAGACCAUAUAGGAUUAGCUGUAAUUAUGCUAUCCUUUUGACUCUUCAAAUUGCAGGAAGCAUAUGAUAGUAGAAUAUUUGGUCCAGUUCAAAUGACAGACUUUGUGGACAGAGUCACAUAUUGCUUGCGAUCUGCAGCAGCCCAUGCCCUGUACAGUAGAGGUGGACCAAACUUUUGACCGUUAAUAUUAUUAUUAUUAUUAUUAUUUUUUAUAACUGAGGACGUGCCUCUAAUAAUUGUAUAUUCUACUCCUCCUCCAGUCACUUUGGCAUGCAGUGGGAUUUGCCAGUGUUUGUAAUUAAACUGGAUAUUGAUGAGAUGGCAAUUAACAGUCUUCCAUCAUCUUUGACGUUGCAAUGGGCUUAAAUACAUUUAUUUAUUUUCAUUAUGAAAUUUGUUAUCA